CUUCUUCUCAAACAUUCAACGAAACGAGAAUCCAAUAUUUAAUCUAGACCAAUAUAUAAAACUAUGUCGAUGAAUUUAAGUCAGAAUUUAUAAUCAAUUUCUACUUGUAGAUUGAAAUAAAAAUAAUAUAGAAUUAUUUUUUUUAUUUUUUUUUAUAAGGAAGAAGUAGCAUGUUUUAAAAAACAAAUGUAACAUGCAGUUGCUA
Molecule: long non-coding RNA, 205 nt
Filed under: Lathyrus oleraceus (garden pea)
Lineage: Eukaryota; Viridiplantae; Streptophyta; Magnoliopsida; Fabales; Fabaceae
Description: Pisum sativum (pea) long non-coding RNA (PSAT_LNC021904)
Source: RNAcentral